CAAUAGCGUAUAUUAAAGCUGUUGCGGUUAAAAAGCUCGUAGUUGGAUUUCUGUCAAGUACAACUGGUCCGCCCUCCGGGUGAGCACAUAGUUUGGUCUUGGCAUCUUGCUGGAAAUUGUUGCUGCACUUGGCUGUGUGGCGCAGUGUCCAGCACUUUCACUUUGAGGAAAUUGGAGUGUUUCAAGCAGGCACAUGCCUUUGGACACAGUAGCAUGGAAUAAUUAGAUUGGGCUUUUGCUCCAAUUUGUCGGUUUCUGGAGCUGAGGUGAGUAUUAAUGGGGAUUGUUGGGGGCAUCCGAAUUUAGCCGUCAGAGGUGAAAUUCUUGGAUCUGCUAAAGACGGACAACUGCGAAAGCGUUUGCCCAGGAUGUUUUCAUUGA
This 381-nucleotide ribosomal RNA is filed under the name uncultured eukaryote. RNAcentral's name for it is "partial 18S ribosomal RNA". It matches the Rfam family "Eukaryotic small subunit ribosomal RNA", at positions 592 to 976 of the family's 1831-position model. The record is from RNAcentral.